Molecule: ribosomal RNA, 380 nt
Filed under: uncultured bacterium
Lineage: Bacteria
Description: bacterial SSU rRNA
Rfam family: Bacterial small subunit ribosomal RNA
Source: RNAcentral
AGCGAACGCUGGCGGCAUGCUUAACACAUGCAAGUCGCACGGGCAGGGGCAACCCUGUCAGUGGCGGACGGGUGAGUAACGCGUAGGUAUCUAUCCUUGGGUGGGGGACGAACGUUGGAACGACUGCUAAUACCGCAUGAUAACUGAGGUUUAAAGGACGCAAGUCGCCUGAGGAGGAGCCUGCGUACGAUUAGCUAGUUGGUGGGGUAAAGGCCUACCAAGGCUGUGANCGUUAGCUGGUCUGAGAGGAUGAUCAGCCACAUUGGGACUGAGACGCGGCCCAAACUCCUACGGGAGGCAGCAGUGGGGAAUAUUGGACAAUGGGCGAAAGCCUGAUCCAGCAAUGCCGCGUGUGUGAAGAAGGUCUUCGGAUUGUAAAG